Molecule: ribosomal RNA, 207 nt
Filed under: uncultured bacterium
Lineage: Bacteria
Description: partial 16S ribosomal RNA
Rfam family: Bacterial small subunit ribosomal RNA
Source: RNAcentral
CUCGUAGGUGGCUCUGUAAGUAGGUGGUGAAAGCCCACGGCUCAACCGUGGAUACGCCUCCUAAACUGUGGAGCUUGAGGCUGGGAGAGGAAAUCGGAAUUCCUGGUGUAGCGGUGAAAUGCGUAGAUAUCAGGAGGAACACCGGUGGCGAAGGCGGAUUUCUGGACCAGUUCUGACACUGAGGAGCGAAAGCCAGGGGAGCAAACA